UGCAUAUUCAAAAAGCGGAGGAAAAGAAACUAACAAGGAUUCCCCUAGUAGCGGCGAGCGAAGCGGGAAGAGCUCAAAUUUAUAAUCUGGCACCUUCGGUGUCCGAGUUGUAAUCUCUAGAAAUGUUUUCCGCGUUGGACCGCACACAAGUCUGUUGGAAUACAGCGGCAUAGUGGUGAGACCCCCGUAUAUGGUGCGGACGCCCAGCGCUUUGUGAUACAUUUUCGAAGAGUCGAGUUGUUUGGGAAUGCAGCUCAAAUUGGGUGGUAAAUUCCAUCUAAAGCUAAAUAUUGGCGAGAGACCGAUAGCGAACAAGUACCGUGAGGGAAAGAUGAAAAGCACUUUGGAAAGAGAGUUAACAGUACGUGAAAUUGUUGGAAGGGAAACGCUUGAAGUCAGACUUGCUUGCCGAGCAAUCGGUUUGCAGGCCAGCAUCAGUUUUCCGGGAUGGAUAAUGGUAAAGAGAAGGUAGCAGUUUCGGCUGUGUUAUAGCUCUCUACUGGAUACAUCCUGGGGGACUGAGGAACGCAGUGUGCCUUUGGCGGGGGUUUCGACCUCUUCACACUUAGGAUGCUGGUGGAAUGGCUUUAAACGACCCGUCUUGAACC
This 608-nucleotide ribosomal RNA is filed under the name Rhodotorula mucilaginosa. Its description in RNAcentral is "partial large subunit ribosomal RNA". It matches the Rfam family "Eukaryotic large subunit ribosomal RNA", at positions 37 to 660 of the family's 3401-position model. The record is from RNAcentral. Lineage: Eukaryota; Fungi; Basidiomycota; Microbotryomycetes; Sporidiobolales; Sporidiobolaceae.